This 253-nucleotide ribosomal RNA is filed under the name uncultured bacterium. Its description in RNAcentral is "partial 16S ribosomal RNA". It matches the Rfam family "Bacterial small subunit ribosomal RNA", at positions 524 to 776 of the family's 1533-position model. The record is from RNAcentral.
GACGAAGGGGGCUAGCGUUGUGCGGAAUUACUGGGCGUAAAGCGCGUGUAGGCGGUUGCCCAAGUCGGGUGUGAAAGCCUUGAGCUCAACUCAAGAAAUGCACUCGGUACUGGGUGACUAGAGGACCGGAGAGGAUAGUGGAAUUCCCAGUGUAGUGGUGAAAUACGUAGAGAUUGGGAAGAACACCAGUGGCGAAGGCGGCUAUCUGGACGGUUUCUGACGCUAAGACGCGAAAGCGUGGGGAGCAAACAGG